This is a long non-coding RNA of Cyprinus carpio (common carp), 1657 nucleotides long. NCBI's taxonomy places the organism in Eukaryota, Metazoa, Chordata, Actinopteri, Cypriniformes, Cyprinidae. The record is from Ensembl.
UAAUGUCCAAUAAUAUUUAAAAUUUACAUAUCUUUAUUGUAUGAAAAUGAUUGACAUCAACUAGUUACUACUUAAUGUGAAUAUGUUUGAGUGGAAUACAAAAAUGGCAGCAGUACCGCAAAAUGCAUUUAGUUUUGUUUCUUCAAUGUGACUGUUUACAUUGAAAAAUCACACCCCAACAUAUAAUGCCAUAUAAUGGCAAUAUUAUUACCCUAUAGAUAUAUAUAUAUCUUAAUCAUGAUGAUCAAAUUCCCAGUGCCUUUCACAUAGGCACAUUGACACCAAGGGUGUCUUAUUUAAAGCAAUGGAGGACCCUGCACAUCGAAAAAUUAUGUUAUGGGGUACCCUGUGCGUCUAAAAGUGACGCCAAAGGGUCCUGACCGAGCAUUAAUAUGUGAUGAGUUGGGAGUGAGAAUGUGUUGAAAAUACUGUCUUAAUCCAAAUCUACAAAUGUCAAACAUUGUAUUUUAGGUCUGGAGAAAUCUAUAGUCCCUUUUUUUAUAUGAGCUUAAAAACAUAUUUACAGUAUUUCAGUCUUCACAUCUAACUCUCUGUGUCAUUGAGAUCAGACAGGUCAGGGAGUGGAAGAAAUUAAUUCAUGAAUAUAUUAGUCUGUUUGAGCUCAUUAAAACGAAGAAAUGCUAAUUUAUGAUGGGUGAAGGUUUAUUUAUAGCCCAAGAGUGGUGUAAGCACAUCUCUUAAGAUGUCUAAGUGAAGGAUAGGGAUCUUAUGUCAUCUCAUUGCGAGCAAUAUGUGUCUGAUUGGCCAUAGCAAAACCCUAGACAGAUGGCCCAUUCUGGUAUUUAGAGUUUAAGGCCCUGCUGUGAAACUGUUUGCUUGGAGAACUCUGGUUUAAUUCCUCCAACGUGGACACAAGAGGAAUUGUAUUUGUCCGAUGUGGACUCAAGAGGGAAAUAAAGAAAAUAAUUGGAUUUUUGGUUUCCAAACAAGAAGCACAACUUCAGCUGAGCAAGACAAAUCCGACCUAUCCCGGAGCUCAUGGGACAGUCAACUAAACUGUUAUAGCCAGGAGUUUAUUUUCAACCCAAAGACAGGAAGGUAACCAAAUCACGGCCUGAAUGUCAACGUUAAACCUCAAGAGGAAAGACACCUUACGAAGGAGGUUAAACGUUUGAGGUGACGUCAAUUGUGAGUUUGGACGAUACGUUUCACAGCUAUUCAUACUGUAUGAGACAGAAAAUAAGGUAUAUUAAAAUGGUUAACUCUGUAACUAUGGCUGUUCUUGCCAAGGACAAUAACUGUAAAGUUGUAAUAAUCAUUCUAAAUGUUUAAGAAUAAGGAAGUCCACACCACAACUUUAAAUAACUACAUAAAGGAACUAUUUUAUUGGAAUCACUUGCAGAUGAAUGAUAAAACAUUAACUGCCAAUCAGAAUCCACCUGACUUUAAAGAGCUUGAACGUUUAAAGUAACAGAUGACAAAACUGCAGCACGCUUAUAACAAAUAGAACGUUAUUGUGCAUUAGUGUGGACGCUAAUAUGAUUGCAGUCAUCGUUCUUGGUAUGAAUGGGCCUCGACCAUAUCGUAAUUGUAGUUAGAAGCUCAUUUUUCAACAUAGACAGUAGUCUUAUUUGUUAAGAUUACUAGUAAACAAACACAUGGGUGGCCAUGAACUUGCAAAUUUAGGAUUAAAGCA